Molecule: ribosomal RNA, 415 nt
Filed under: Acanthamoeba quina
Lineage: Eukaryota; Discosea; Longamoebia; Acanthamoebidae
Description: SSU rRNA
Rfam family: Eukaryotic small subunit ribosomal RNA
Source: RNAcentral
UUUUCUGCCACCGAAUACAUUAGCAUGGGAUAAUGGAAUAGGACCCUGUCCUCCUAUUUUCAGUUGGUUUUGGCAGCGCGAGGACUAGGGUAAUGAUUAAUAGGGAUAGUUGGGGGCAUUAAUAUUUAAUUGUCAGAGGUGAAAUUCUUGGAUUUAUGAAAGAUUAACUUCUGCGAAAGCAUCUGCCAAGGAUGUUUUCAUUAAUCAAGAACGAAAGUUAGGGGAUCGAAGACGAUCAGAUACCGUCGUAGUCUUAACCAUAAACGAUGCCGACCAGCGAUUAGGAGACGUUGAAUACAAAACACCACCAUCGGUGCGGUCGUCCUUGGCGUCUCGGUCCUUCACGGGGCCGGGGCGCGGGGGCGGCUUAGCCCGGUGGCACCGGUGAAUGACUCCCCUAGCAGCUUGUGAGAAA